GCCGCGUUCGUCUAGUUUGGUCUAGGACACCUGGUUCUCAUCCAGGAGAUCGUGGGUUCGAAUCCCACACGCGGUA
RNAcentral lists this transfer RNA (76 nucleotides) under Patescibacteria group bacterium. RNAcentral describes it as "tRNA-Glu". It matches the Rfam family "tRNA". From Rfam's summary of the family: Transfer RNA (tRNA) molecules are approximately 80 nucleotides in length. Their secondary structure includes four short double-helical elements and three loops (D, anti-codon, and T loops). The record is from RNAcentral.